Molecule: ribosomal RNA, 431 nt
Filed under: uncultured bacterium
Lineage: Bacteria
Description: bacterial SSU rRNA
Rfam family: Bacterial small subunit ribosomal RNA
Source: RNAcentral
GGGCCCGCACAAGCAGUGGAGCAUGUGGUUUAAUUCGAAGAUACGCGCAGAACCUUACCAACGCUUGACAUGUUCGUCGCGAAACUAAGAGAUUAGUUUCUUCAGUUCGGCUGGACGAAACACAGGUGCUGCAUGGCUGUCGUCAGCUCGUGUCGUGAGAUGUUGGGUUAAGUCCCGCAACGAGCGCAACCCACGUCUUUAGUUGCCAGCAUUUAGUUGGGCACUCUAGAGAGACUGCCGGUGAUAAACCGGAGGAAGGUGUGGAUGACGUCAAGUCAUCAUGCCCCUUACAUCCUGGGCUACACACGUACUACAAUGCUACGGACAAAGGGCAGCAAGUUCGCGAGGACAAGCAAAUCCCAUAAACCGUGGCUCAGUUCAGAUCGUAGGCUGCAACUCGCCUACGUGAAGGCGGAAUCGCUAGUAAUCGC